RNAcentral lists this ribosomal RNA (516 nucleotides) under uncultured Planctomycetota bacterium. Its description in RNAcentral is "bacterial SSU rRNA". It matches the Rfam family "Bacterial small subunit ribosomal RNA", at positions 117 to 643 of the family's 1533-position model. The record is from RNAcentral. Lineage: Bacteria; Pseudomonadati; Planctomycetota.
GUAGAUACCUACCCUCUGGUUCAGGAUAGCUGCGGGAAACUGCAGGUAAUACUGAAUAAAGUCUCCGGACCAAAGGUGUGAUUCCACCGGAGGAUGGGUCUGCGUCCUAUUAGCUUGUUGGUGGGGUAACGGCCUACCAAGGCAAUGAUGGGUAGCGGGUGUGAGAGCACGACCCGCGUCACUGGGACUGAGACACUGCCCAGACACCUACGGGUGGCUGCAGUCGAGGAUCUUCGGCAAUGGGCGCAAGCCUGACCGAGCGACGCCGCGUGCGGGAUGAAGGCCUUCGGGUUGUAAACCGCUGUCAGAGGGGAUGAAAUAUUUGGGGGUUCUCCCCCAAGUUUGACAUAUCCUCAGAGGAAGUGUGGGCUAAGUUCGUGCCAGCAGCCGCGGUAAGACGAACCACACAAACGUUAUUCGGAAUUACUGGGCUUAAAGGGUGCGUAGGCGGCGCGGAAAGUUGGGUGUGAAAUCCCUCGGCUCAACCGAGGAACUGCGCCCAAAACUACCGUGCUU